RNAcentral lists this ribosomal RNA (440 nucleotides) under uncultured bacterium. Its description in RNAcentral is "partial 16S ribosomal RNA". It matches the Rfam family "Bacterial small subunit ribosomal RNA", at positions 339 to 795 of the family's 1533-position model. The record is from RNAcentral.
CUACGGGCGGCUGCAGUGGGGAAUAUUGCACAAUGGGGGAAACUCUGAUGCAGCAACGCCGCGUGGAGGAUGACACUUUUCGGAGCGUAAACUCCUUUUAUAUAGGAAGAAGAUGACGGUACUAUAUGAAUAAGCGCCGGCUAACUCCGUGCCAGCAGCCGCGGUAAUACGGAGGGCGCAAGCGUUACUCGGAAUCACUGGGCGUGAAAGAGCGUGUAGGCGGAUUAAAAAGUCAGAAGUGCAAUCCUAUAGCUUAACUAGAGAACUGCUUCUGAAACUCUUAAUCUAGAAUAUGGGAGAGGUAGAAGGAAUUUCUGGUGUAGGGGUAAAAUCCGUAGAGAUCAGAAGGAAUACCGAUUGCGAAGGCGAUCUACUAGAACAUUAUUGACGCUGAGACGCGAAAGCGUGGGGAGCAAACAGGAUUAGAUACCCCCGUAGUC